GUCCCUUCAAGGGCAUCCUAUAAAAUUGGAACGAUACAAAGAAGAUUAGCAUGACUCACGCACCAGAAUGACACGCAUAAAUCGAGAAAUAUUCUAUUUUUUU
Small nuclear RNA from Salvia splendens (bonfire salvia), 103 nucleotides. The record is from RefSeq and is a predicted model, not a curated record. Lineage: Eukaryota; Viridiplantae; Streptophyta; Magnoliopsida; Lamiales; Lamiaceae.